Molecule: long non-coding RNA, 603 nt
Organism: Triticum aestivum (bread wheat)
Lineage: Eukaryota; Viridiplantae; Streptophyta; Magnoliopsida; Poales; Poaceae
Exons: 3
Source: RefSeq, a predicted model, not a curated record
UAUUCAAUAUGUUCUCCUGUAUCAUAGAUGUCGCCGGUGACGAUCGAUAUUGACGUCCGUUUUGCUGUGUCUCGUCGAUCAAGUUCCACCCCGAGCACCACCGGCGACUACGACAAGCACAUCCGUCUUGCAAUUGGCGCCAUCGUCGGAAAGGUCGAUAAAACGACGACUUCCAUUGCAGGUUGCAGGAGGAUGACCGAUCAGAUUAUACCACUAGGCAUUAAUCGGUGAGGUCAAUCAGGUCAAGGGUGUAUGUCUUCGGAUGCAUUACGCCGCCACCGCCGACGGCCACGUGCCGUGGAGCAGCCAUGGUUAAGUUUCAUGCAUGCGCGACGAGUCAUGCGACUCGCCCGAUCUCAUCAGCAGUGUCGCAGCCCUCCCCGGGUCUGCUGUCUCCAAAUCUGGCACACACUAUGGAAAUAUGACGUCAGAAUGAAGAAUACAUGAAUCACCAUGGAUGUCCUAGCUACCGAUGGUGCCUGAUUGAUCCAUGCCCUAUGAUAUACUGUGUGCAUGACAAUAAUUUGCUAGUACGUACACACUAGAAACAGUUGGCAGCUUCCUUUCCACCUAUAAUCGAGUCAUGUUUCUUAUUGAUGAUGA